Bombina bombina (fire-bellied toad) is the source of this 79-nucleotide small nucleolar RNA. RefSeq annotates it as small nucleolar RNA SNORD79. The transcript has a single exon. NCBI's taxonomy places the organism in Eukaryota, Metazoa, Chordata, Amphibia, Anura, Bombinatoridae. The record is from RefSeq and is a predicted model, not a curated record.
UACUAAUCAUGAUGAUUUGGUUUAAUCAAUGGGAAUCUCUCUGAAAAAGGAUGAGGGAACUCUUCAAACUGACUUAGUA